This 1687-nucleotide long non-coding RNA is filed under the name Sinocyclocheilus grahami. Its description in RNAcentral is "lncRNA (ENSSGRG00000016663.1)". Lineage: Eukaryota; Metazoa; Chordata; Actinopteri; Cypriniformes; Cyprinidae. The record is from RNAcentral.
GCAUUACGUAACAAACAGACAGACACCUGGAAGCUUUGUUCACGUCCUACCAUUUUAAGCUCCGGAUAUUCCGCCUUUUAACUCUGACGUAACAUGAUUGACACAGGCUUCCCCGAAUCAGCGCUUCCAAUGAACAUGAUUGACAGCGGUAUUGGCCAAUGAGCGUUCGAGCUCCGGCAGCUAUGGCGUCUGUGCCCCGUCUGCUGAUUUGCAACCCGCCGAAAUAGGAUCGGUGAAGAAGGAGACCUUCGAUCGGUUCGCCAUGGACUGUUCUAGGAUCAGUAAGGUUUAAAUACGACUCUAACCAUAGAGCGAGGUAGCCUCCCUGCUGGACCCUAACAUGAAGAGCUCAAAGGCCCGCAAGUACCAGAUCCAUUACGAAGAGGUGAAGAGGAGAUUGGAACCGCCUGAAAAGAUGUCUCUCCGAUCUCUGGCUGCCUAUACGAGAGUGAGUCGAGGUCCAGCUAGUAAGAAAACACUCUUGGAGUCCCUAAAUGUCUUUGGACUGUCACCAAGCACCAAUACAGCAGUGUCCAGUUCCUUUUCUAAACUAACUGAAGGUGACACAGCUGCUCUUUGCAAAGACAUGAAGGAUUUUGCACUGCAAUAUGUUGAUUAUGAGAAUAUGGCGAAACAGUUGCUACCUGAAACAAACCAAGUACAGCACUGGUCAAAAAUCAUUGAAACAAGGAACUAUCUAGAGGAGAUGCGGAAGACUUUUAAUGACCCUGUGAAUACACGUUUGUUCUCCAAUGUUACACAUGGUCUUGGUAACGGCAUGAUGGACGUGGCUCUCGAUAUCGUAGAUAACGUCAUCGACCGACAAAUCCGAAUCCUCUCAGGGAACACUGACCCCAAACCCGAACCUCCAGUGAGAAGAAUAAGGAAACGCAACCGCAAGCCCAAAGCCGCCACGGAAGACGGCAAACCUAAAGAAAAGGGCAGAAGGGGACAGAAGAAAGGAAAACAGAUGCGGCUGGAUUCUGUUGUUCCUGAAGUUCAGCAGUCCACAGAGAUGGAAAGCAGCGUGUUAACACUAGUCUCUGUAGGAUACGAAACCAUUUCCAGUGGACUUAACGCCACCAAUGCAGGUCUUGCAUAACAUCACGUGCCUGAAAGGUGCUGAGAGACACUGAAUUCUGAGUGCAAAAAGUUUUUCAUAGAAAAUUAUAGUUUUAUAAACAUUAGACUUCUCUCCUUCUCUCAAGACUGAAUAUAUUUAGUUUUUUGUUUUCCUCCCAAACUGGUUGAUCAAGAAAAUAAUGUGGCUCUGGGAAGCUGUUUGACAGAGAUGUUUUGAUUUAUACUUUACCAAUCAUGUGUCGCUCUCAAUCUUUCGUUUUGUCAUUUGUGGUAAAGAACAAAUGUACACCGACAGCGUAUGCUAUUAAAGUAGCACGCAAGCAUUUUUUUUCAAGCACUAUGUUGUACUCUCAUGAAAUGAAUCACAAUAUCAGUUUCUGUUAGUCUCAUUUUAGAAUGUUCUCUCUGAAGUGUUAUUUGAUUCUGUUUUACUUAAUCAUAGAAACCCCAAGCAAUUUAGUUUGAGUAAGAACAUAUCUUCUCUUGAUUUUUCGGACUAUUUAUUUCCUUUUUCUGUUUGUGUCUGAUAUGUAGUGUAUGUGAAUGACUGUAGCCUGUACUCUGUACGUUUUGCAGAUUGCUCGUCAUAUGCUUGUAUUAAAAG